This 403-nucleotide ribosomal RNA is filed under the name uncultured bacterium. Its description in RNAcentral is "bacterial SSU rRNA". It matches the Rfam family "Bacterial small subunit ribosomal RNA", at positions 29 to 429 of the family's 1533-position model. The record is from RNAcentral.
AUUGAACGCUGGCGGCAUGCCUAACACAUGCAAGUCGAACGGCAGCACGGCAGUAGCAAUACUGUGGGUGGCGAGUGGCGGACGGGUGAGGAAUACGUCGGAAUCUGCCCAGUCGUGGGGGAUAACUAGCCGAAAGGUUAGCUAAUACCGCAUACGACCGAGAGGUGAAAGCGGGGGACCGCAAGGCCUCGCGCGAUUGGAUGAGCCGACGUCGGAUUAGCUAGUUGGUGGGGUAAAGGCCCACCAAGGCGACGAUCCGUAGCUGGUCUGAGAGGAUGAUCAGCCACACUGGAACUGAGACACGGUCCAGACUCCUACGGGAGGCAGCAGUGGGGAAUAUUGGACAAUGGGCGCAAGCCUGAUCCAGCAAUGCCGCGUGUGUGAAGAAGGCCUCGGUUGUAAG